Molecule: ribosomal RNA, 496 nt
Filed under: uncultured bacterium
Lineage: Bacteria
Description: partial 16S ribosomal RNA
Rfam family: Bacterial small subunit ribosomal RNA
Source: RNAcentral
GAUGAACGCUGGCGGCGUGCCUAAUACAUGCAAGUCGAGCGAACAGAUAAGGAGCUUGCUCCUUUGACGUUAGCGGCGGACGGGUGAGUAACACGUGGGUAACCUAUCUAUAAGACUGGAAUAACUCCGGGAAACCGGGGCUAAUGCCGGAUAACAUGUUGAACCGCAUGGUUCUACAGUGAAAGGCGGCUUUGCUGUCACUUAUAGAUGGACCCGCGCCGUAUUAGCUAGUUGGUGAGGUAACGGCUCACCAAGGCAACGAUACGUAGCCGACCUGAGAGGGUGAUCGGCCACACUGGAACUGAGACACGGUCCAGACUCCUACGGGAGGCAGCAGUAGGGAAUCUUCCGCAAUGGGCGAAAGCCUGACGGAGCAACGCCGCGUGAGUGAUGAAGGUCUUCGGAUCGUAAAACGCUGUUAUUAGGGAAGAACAAAUGCGUAAGUAACUGUGCGCGUCUUGACGGUACCUAAGCAGAAAGCCACGGCUAACUACGU